UCACUGGGCUUUUAGCUCACCCCUCUCCCUUUACCCCCAGGCUUGCAGGUACAGUAUAGUGCGGGAGUCCGGAUAGAGUAAAGAAGUUAUGCCUUUGUAAUAGCUAGUAAUGGACAUGAUCAAAAUUGUAAUGUAAAAGUACAGUAUAGUUAUGUAAUGAGUUUUAUGGAUGUUAGUAUGUGCUUGACCAUAGAUUGUUGUAUCCCUUUUAU
RNAcentral lists this long non-coding RNA (212 nucleotides) under Manihot esculenta (cassava). Its description in RNAcentral is "long non-coding RNA (MESC_LNC011860)". The record is from RNAcentral. Lineage: Eukaryota; Viridiplantae; Streptophyta; Magnoliopsida; Malpighiales; Euphorbiaceae.